This 309-nucleotide unclassified non-coding RNA is filed under the name plant metagenome. Its description in RNAcentral is "partial contains 5.8S ribosomal RNA, internal transcribed spacer 2, and large subunit ribosomal RNA". The stretch from base 1 to 104 matches the Rfam family "5.8S ribosomal RNA", at positions 51 to 154 of the family's 154-position model. The record is from RNAcentral.
AAAUGCGAUAAGUAGUGUGAAUUGCAGAAUUCAGUGAAUCAUCGAAUCUUUGAACGCACAUUGCGCCCCUUGGUGUUCCAUGGGGCAUGCCUGUUCGAGCGUCAUUUGUACCCUCAAGCUCUGCUUGGUGUUGGGUGUUUGUCCCCGUCUCCGCGCGUGGACUCGCCCCAAAGUGAUUGGCAGCCGGCGUACUGGUCCCGGAGCGCAGCACAUGUCGCGCAAACGAGUGCCUUGGUACGGCGGCGUCCAUAAGCCCCUCUCUCACGCUCUUGACCUCGGAUCAGGUAGGGAUACCCGCUGAACUUAAGC